Molecule: ribosomal RNA, 497 nt
Filed under: uncultured bacterium
Lineage: Bacteria
Description: partial 16S ribosomal RNA
Rfam family: Bacterial small subunit ribosomal RNA
Source: RNAcentral
GAUGAACGCUGGCGGCGUGCCUAAUACAUGCAAGUCGAGCGAACAGACGAGGAGCUUGCUCCUCUGACGUUAGCGGCGGACGGGUGAGUAACACGUGGAUAACCUACCUAUAAGACUGGGAUAACUUCGGGACACCGGAGCUAAUACCGGAUAAUAUAUUGAACCGCAUGGUUCAAUAGUGAAAGACGGUUUUGCUGUCACUUAUAGAUGGAUCCGCGCCGCAUUAGCUAGUUGGUAAGGUAACGGCUUACCAAGGCAACGAUGCGUAGCCGACCUGAGAGGGUGAUCGGCCACACUGGAACUGAGACACGGUCCAGACGCCUACGGGAGGCAGCAGUAGGGAAUCUUACGCAAUGGGCGAAAGCCUGACGGAGCAACGCCGCGUGAGUGAUGAAGGUCUUCGGAUCGUAAAACUCUGUUAUUAGGGAAGAACAAAUGUGUAAGUAACUAUGCACGUCUUGACGGUACCUAAUCAGAAAGCCACGGCUAACUACGUG